Molecule: unclassified non-coding RNA, 1070 nt
Filed under: Acanthaster planci (crown-of-thorns starfish)
Lineage: Eukaryota; Metazoa; Echinodermata; Asteroidea; Valvatida; Acanthasteridae
Description: serine/arginine-rich splicing factor 7-like, transcript variant X4
Source: RNAcentral
CGGCGACCCCCGUGAAAUUCUGUUGUGUCUGGCACCGAGACUGAAGCAUUUUAUAAACGUGAAAACCUUCAGAGUACCCGGCUAUUAAUUUUCCGGCAAUUUGCACGCGUAUGCUAGCUACGUUGAGAUAUUACCUGUCGAGUGAGUAGAAUGUCGUAUUUCCACCGAAGCGUCGAUUGCAAGGUGUACGUCGGUAACUUGGGGUCGGGCGCCAGUCGUCAUGAGCUAGAAGAUGCCUUCAUCAAGUACGGGGACCUGACCAAUGUUUGGGUGGCCAGGAACCCUCCUGGAUUUGCAUUUGUUGAGUUCAAGAAUCGCAGUGAUGCGCUGCGUGCCGUAGAUGGCUUGGACGACUGCUACCUCUGUGGGCGUCGGAUCACCGUCGAGAUGUCGACGGGGGAGAGCCGAAAUCGGGGCAGUGGCCGUUACCCGCCCCGUCGCUCCAUCAGCGACGAGAAGUGCUAUGAGUGCGGGCAGAGGGGCCACUUUGCCCGGGACUGUCGCUACAACCGUCGCCGUAACCGCAGGUCCCGCAGCAGGAGCCCCCAGUAUCGCCCCAUCUAGCGCACUUGUCAGCUAGUCAGCUAACCAAAGAGGGCUAGUCAGCUAACCAAAGACAGCUAGUCAGCUAACCAGUUCGUCAGCUGAACAGCUCGACGGCUCUAGGUUCAACCAACCCCCCCAACAGGGCCCUGGGCGGCUAGAUCAGCUUAGAAAAACAUAAUAAAAACCCAAACAAAACCACUAGCUCGCUCGUCGCAUCGCCACCACUCAGCACAUGACCACCAUGACACGAACUUCUCGCGGCCACCAUUAGCCCGUCAUGCGAUCGGCACGACCCGUCCACGCGACUCAACACUUGACCAACAUGCAGAGCAUGCUCCGUCCGUGUCGGAUCCUUGUGCCGUCGUGCCAUAGAUGGGCCAUAAAUGUCCCCAAAUUUCGUCAGCUUGUUUGGUUUAAAAGGACACGGGUGUGUGUAAAAAGUCUCGCUCCAGAUCGUAUUCCCCGCGCCGCCACCGAAGCCGAAGUUCCAGUCGUAACUACCGUAGCCGUUCUCGGAGCCGAAG